Molecule: ribosomal RNA, 402 nt
Filed under: uncultured bacterium
Lineage: Bacteria
Description: bacterial SSU rRNA
Rfam family: Bacterial small subunit ribosomal RNA
Source: RNAcentral
UGGGGAAUCUUCGGCAAUGGGCGAAAGCCUGACCGAGCCAUGCCGCGUGAGUGAAGAAGGCCCUAGGGUUGUAAAGCUCUUUCAUCAGGGACGAUAAUGACGGUACCUGAAGAAGAAGCCCCGGCUAACUCCGUGCCAGCAGCCGCGGUAAUACGGAGGGGGCUAGCGUUGUUCGGAAUUACUGGGCGUAAAGCGCGCGUAGGCGGCUUGGAAAGUCAGAGGUGAAAGCCCAGGGCUCAACCCUGGAAUUGCCUUUGAAACUUCCUCGCUUGAGUUCGGAAGAGGUGAGCGGAAUUCCUAGUGGAGAGGUGAAAUUCGCAGAGAUUAGGAAGAACACCGGUGGCGAAGGCGGCUCACUGGUCCGUAUCUGACGCUGAGGCGCGAAAGCGUGGGUAGCAAACA